This 504-nucleotide ribosomal RNA is filed under the name uncultured bacterium. RNAcentral describes it as "partial 16S ribosomal RNA". It matches the Rfam family "Bacterial small subunit ribosomal RNA", at positions 28 to 506 of the family's 1533-position model. The record is from RNAcentral.
GACGAACGCUGGCGGCGUGCCUAAUACAUGCAAGUAGAACGCACAGUUUAUACCGUAGCUUGCUACACCAUAGACUGUGAGUUGCGAACGGGUGAGUAACGCGUAGGUAACCUGCCUGGUAGCGGGGGAUAACUAUUGGAAACGAUAGCUAAUACCGCAUAAUAUUAAUUAUUGCAUGAUAAUUAAUUGAAAGGUGCAAUUGCACCACUACCAGAUGGACCUGCGUUGUAUUAGCUAGUAGGUGAGGUAACGGCUCACCUAGGCGACGAUACAUAGCCGACCUGAGAGGGUGAUCGGCCACACUGGGACUGAGACACGGCCCAGACUCCUACGGGAGGCAGCAGUAGGGAAUCUUCGGCAAUGGACGAAAGUCUGACCGAGCAACGCCGCGUGAGUGAAGAAGGUUUUCGGAUCGUAAAGCUCUGUUGUAAGGGAAGAACGGGUGUGAGAGUGGAAAGUUCACACUGUGACGGUAUCUUACCAGAAAGGAACGGCUAAUUACGU